UACUUUUGCACCUCAAAACAUACAUAAUAAUCAUUUAAAACAAUAUUGGAAUG
This is a regulatory RNA element of Ornithobacterium rhinotracheale DSM 15997, 53 nucleotides long. It matches the Rfam family "S15-Flavobacteria ribosomal protein leader". The record is from Rfam. Lineage: Bacteria; Pseudomonadati; Bacteroidota; Flavobacteriia; Flavobacteriales; Weeksellaceae.